CGAAUCCGAAGGAUGAGUUUGUUUAAAUAUGUUAAUGAGUAAGACACAUGGUAUAUAAAAUUUGUAAUAUAAAUAAAAUGAUUGACAGCUUCAAGACCUUCAACUAAUAUUAGAAAUUGAUCAGGUUACAGUUUUAUCCAAUGAAAUGGAAGCUCGCGCAAGUCACUUUUGCGCUUCGUGUAUGAUCGUCUGUAUAUUUCAUGUAAUAGAACCCCUGAAUUUGUAGAAAGUAAAGAAAAUGUCGGAUUUUCCCGAUUUUUUUUUAGUUUUGCAACCUGUGUAUGAUUGUAUGAGCAGGUAAUUUCAUAAUGUCAUCCGACUGAGGUAAACAAAAAUGUCGGAUUCCAGCGAAUAGGAUUAAAUGAUUAUUCUAAUGACGGUAAGAAUUGUUUUUCUUUGUUUUCAAUGUAUCAUACAAAUUAAUCAUAUUUUACAGAAUUUUCA
This 444-nucleotide long non-coding RNA is filed under the name Mytilus galloprovincialis (Mediterranean mussel). Lineage: Eukaryota; Metazoa; Mollusca; Bivalvia; Mytilida; Mytilidae. The record is from RNAcentral.